GACGAACGCUGGCGGCGUGCUUAACACAUGCAAGUCGAACGGAAAGGCCCUGCUUUUGUGGGGUGCUCGAGUGGCGAACGGGUGAGUAACACGUGAGUAACCUGCCCUUGACUUUGGGAUAACUUCAGGAAACUGGGGCUAAUACCGGAUAGGAGCUCCUGCCGCAUGGUGGGGGUUGGAAAGUUUCGGCGGUUGGGGAUGGACUCGCGGCUUAUCAGCUUGUUGGUGGGGUAGUGGCUUACCAAGGCUUUGACGGGUAGCCGGCCUGAGAGGGUGACCGGCCACAUUGGGACUGAGAUACGGCCCAGACUCCUACGGGAGGCAGCAGUGGGGAAUAUUGCACAAUGGGCGGAAGCCUGAUGCAGCAACGCCGCGUGCGGGAUGACGGCCUUCGGGUUGUAAACCGCUUUCGCCUGUGACGAAGCGUGAGUGACGGUGAUGGGUAAAGAAGCACCGGCUAACUACGUGCCAGCAGCCGCGGUGAUACGUAGGGUGCGAGCGUUGUCCGGAUUUAUUGGGCGUAAAGGGCUCGUAGGUGGUUGAUCGCGUCGGAAGUGUAAUCUUGGGGCUUAACCCUGAGCGUGCUUUCGAUACGGGUUGACUUGAGGAAGGUAGGGGAGAAUGGAAUUCCUGGUGGAGCGGUGGAAUGCGCAGAUAUCAGGAGGAACACCAGUGGCGAAGGCGGUUCUCUGGGCCUUUCCUGACGCUGAGGAGCGAAAGCGUGGGGAGCGAACAGGCUUAGAUACCCUGGUAGUCCACGCUGUAAACGGUGGGUACUAGGUGUGGGGUCCAUUCCACGGGUUCCGUGCCGUAGCUAACGCUUUAAGUACCCCGCCUGGGGAGUACGGCCGCAAGGCUAAAACUCAAAGGAAUUGACGGGGCCCCGCACAAGCGGCGGAGCAUGCGGAUUAAUUCGAUGCAACGCGUAGAACCUUACCUGGGUUUGACAUGGAUCGGGAGUGCUCAGAGAUGGGUGUGCCUCUUUUGGGGUCGGUUCACAGGUGGUGCAUGGCUGUCGUCAGCUCGUGUCGUGAGAUGUUGGGUUAAGUCCCGCAACGAGCGCAACCCUUGUUCACUGUUGCCAGCACGUUAUGGUGGGGACUCAGUGGAGACCGCCGGGGUCAACUCGGAGGAAGGUGGGGAUGACGUCAAGUCAUCAUGCCCCUUAUGUCCAGGGCUUCACGCAUGCUACAAUGGCUGGUACAGAGAGUGGCGAGCCUGUGAGGGUGAGCGAAUCUCGGAAAGCCGGUCUCAGUUCGGAUUGGGGUCUGCAACUCGACCUCAUGAAGUCGGAGUCGCUAGUAAUCGCAGAUCAGCAACGCUGCGGUGAAUACGUUCCCGGGGCU
RNAcentral lists this ribosomal RNA (1346 nucleotides) under uncultured bacterium. RNAcentral describes it as "partial 16S ribosomal RNA". It matches the Rfam family "Bacterial small subunit ribosomal RNA", at positions 28 to 1381 of the family's 1533-position model. The record is from RNAcentral.